GGAGCCCGGCGGACGCUGGGUCUGCAGAUGCCAUCCAGGCGCACGGCGGGUAUAGUGGUUCCGCAACCUUGGGAUGUUCGGCUGAGCGCCUGCCUAACAUGGGAGCGCCUGCCUAACCCUCCUGACUGGAGGGUCAGCGGCGGGGAGUCCUGGCCUUCAAUCGGCCAUCGCCACGGCAGAAACUGGGGCCCGGGCUGCGUCCAGGCCCUUCCCCGUCCGUCCACAGGUCUCAUGGGCGCCCGGACUGGGGCUGAUGUAGUUUCCCGACCUCUGACACAUAGGAUCUGGAGAUUAAAGCUGCUCUGCUAAUAAUUAGGUUCCCACCUCUCAAGAUCAUUAGGAGCUUCUUUUCCAAUUCCUCUGUUUUGCAUGCAUUGGAAGGAUCUGGAGCUCAGGACCCACUACCUCCCCGGCCCACUGCAAGCUUGAACAUUUGAUGGUGGACACCCCUCCCUGACUUUGUAUUAUGAUUCACAGGCUGCUCCCCAGAAUACUGAAGAAGAAACUCUAGGAGUGAGACCCAACAAUCUGUGUUUAACAAGUCCCCAGGCCCCUGGAUCCUCCUGGAAUCCCUGAUCCCUGUUGCUCCCUGGCGGAGUUUUCUAGUCCCUCUUACUUGAAGCAUGUCUUUCAGAGCCCGGCACCACCCAAGUUGGGUAUCUGCUACACCUCUAUGGUAUUUUUUUCACCUCAUAUCAUACCUUCCUCCCUCACUGGACUUCAGUGUGGGACCUGCAGGUCUCAGGCCUUCUGGGAAGUCCCAGCUUUUCUUGAAUGUUCUCUCUCUCUGGCCAGCUCAGGCUGGAGCAGUGGGUGUUGGUGCCAUCCUGUGGCUAUAGGUGAUAAGCCGGCUGUUCUUCACUGACCUGGUCUUACCUUGAACCCUGGAGUUCUCACAUGCAUGGAUUUAAAUGCUGUGUCUUUCUAAGGGCACAUUAUGGCCAUUUUCCUUAUCUCCCUCCCAAGGGGCUGUUUCCUGUAUUUAUUGACUCCCUGUUUAAAAAAAAUAUAUGUAUAUAUAGACAAAUUGGAUUGUACCCCAUAAACUGCAUGUUUUAAAAAUACUUCAAAGAAUAGUUUUUCAUUUUUUUCUUGCUGGUUUUUAUGUAUCUUCUAAAUUGUAUAUAUUUAUGGGGUAUAAAAUGAUGUUGUGAUUUUUCAAUACAGUGUGGAAUGAGAAUCAAAUUAACCUAUCCGUUACCUCAAGUACUUGACUUUUUUUGUGAUGAGAAGGCUGUUUAUCACUUUCACUCACCAGCUCCUGCUGUCUUCCAUGCUGGGGACAGGAAAGGCUCCACGCUUGACUUUCCCUCCUGUUUUCUUAUCUGCUGUCAACCCCUGAAUGUACCCUCCAGGAUUGACUUCUAGACCUUCUACAUCUAGCUCGAUCGUUGUGCACCCACCUUCCUCCCAGGGACUGUCCUUAGGGAGUGACUUUAUGCACAAACUUCACAUGCUCUUCCUGCCUCCUUCAUCCCCAGAAGCCCCCAUCUCAGCCCCAUCUGAUUAUUUCCUCCCUCUCUCAUUUCCUGUUAUGCUGUUGGUUUUCUAACCUGAAGGGUAACUUCUUACUCCUUAGUUUUUUGCCUUAAUUUCUAAGUCAUAGGCUACUUUCAGGCUAAAAGUUUUCCUCCAGCCAUGGUUUUAGUCUCAUUCUAUAAGUCUUGCUAGGUAGUUUAUUCAUUGGAAAUUUUUUGUUUUUGAGACAGAGUCUCGCUCUAUCACCCAGGCUGUAGUACAGUGGUGCCAUCUCAGCUCACUGCAACCUCCGGUUCCCGGGCUCAAGCAGUUCUCUUUCCUCAGCCUCCUGAGUAGCUGGGAUUAUGGGUGCCUGCCACCACACCCAGCUAAUUUUUGUAUUUUUAGCAGAGACGGCAUUUCACCAUGUCAGCCAGGUUGGUCUCGAACUCUUGACCUCAAGUGAUCCGCCCGCCUUGGCCUCCCAAAAUACUGGGAUUACAGGGGUGAGUCACCGCACCCCACCCCUUGGCACUAUAUUUAAGUGAUGAUAUUUUUGGACACUGAGGUAGCCUCAUUCCACAGGUUUAGAUCUGAAGCAUUUUCACUAUUGCUUCUUUCCAUGUAUUUCCUGGUUUGCAGGUCAGUUUCUUCUUUUAAUUCAUCAUUGACACAGUGGUUUAUAUGGCUUUUAAUUUCAAAAGAUUUUUUAAAAUAUCUUUUUGCCGAUUUUUAUCUAUGUUAAUUUUAACUAGACAUGUUCCCUGGAAGGACAUCACUAGUUUUUUUUUUUUUUUUCCCUCUGUUUAUAAUUUAGGUGGAUUUUCACAUCUCAAGCCAGCUAAGAGUAUGGGAAAUAGGACUCGUUAAAGCACAGGUAUCACACAAGUGAUUCAGAUUCACGAGGGUAAUCCAGAUGAAGGUAUAUCAUUGUACCUGGCCCGCAUCACUCAAUAACUGUCACCUUUGAUUUAUUGAUUUACUUGAGAUGGAGUUUGGUUCUGUCCCCGAGGCCGGAGUGCAAUGGCGUGAUCUCUGCUCACUACAACCUCUGCCUCCCAGGUUCAGAGUGAUUCUCCUGCCUCAGCCUCUUUAGCUGGGAUUACAGGCACCCACCAACAUGCCCAGCUAAUUUUUGUAUUUUUAGUAGAGAGGAGCUUUCACCAUAAUGGCCAGGCUGGUCUUGAACCUCAAAUGAUCUGCCCACCUUGGCCUCCCAAAGUGCUAGGAUUACAGGCUGGAGCUACGGAGCCCAGCCUGUCACCUUGAUUUAAAUGAAUGCAGCUUUCUUGGUGUCUUGAUGUUUGUGAAUUUCUGUGGAGUUUGAUACUGCUCCUUUUGCUGCUUGUUUUUCCAGAGUCCCCUUAUCACUUGACGUGCUGUUAUAUUAUGUUUGAUUUAUUACAGAUACCCCAUCAGCCUGAGUCUCUUAAAGGCCUUUAUACACAUAUGUCUACACAUAGGGAUUUGGAUGAUCUCGGGAUCCCACAUCCUCGCUGUCCCCUGUCCCCCCACAACAUCCCACACCAAUACCUUUCUGAAGUUUUCUAGUCCCUCCUUUUUGUUUGUGGUCCUUAAAGCCCAGCCCCAUGCCUGACUUUGGUUCCCAGUGAGCAUUGUACAUUUGUGGAUAUUAAAUCUUUGGCAAAGUCAUUU
This 3114-nucleotide long non-coding RNA is filed under the name Homo sapiens (human). Its description in RNAcentral is "HSALNT0397814". Lineage: Eukaryota; Metazoa; Chordata; Mammalia; Primates; Hominidae. The record is from RNAcentral.